Molecule: ribosomal RNA, 271 nt
Filed under: uncultured bacterium
Lineage: Bacteria
Description: partial 16S ribosomal RNA
Rfam family: Bacterial small subunit ribosomal RNA
Source: RNAcentral
CCCGGCGACCGGCGCACGGGUGAGUAACACGUAUGCAACCUGGCCGUGACAGAUGGAUAACCGGGAGAAAUCCCGCCUAAUACAGCAUGACGUCGGGAAGGGACAUCCCUUUCCGGCCAAAGGGGGCGACUCCGGUCACGGAUGGGCAUGCGGCGCAUUAGGUAGUUGGUGGGGCAACGGCCCACCAAGCCGACGAUGCGUAGGGGUUCUGAGAGGAAGGUCCCCCACAUUGGAACUGAGACACGGUCCAAACUCCUACGGAAGGCAGCAG